UGAGGACUAGUAUGAAUGGCCCCACGAGGGCUGCACUGUCUCCUUUUUCCAAUCAAUGAAACUAAUCUCCCCGUGAAGAAGCGGGGAUAACCCUAUAAGACGAGAAGACCCUAUGGAGCUUUAAACAACUGAAACAUUUGCUUCUCCCCUGGCCUCUCCUGAGCUCUUUAUUUUACUUAAGCAUUUUUAUUUCUAGUUUUAGGUUGGGGUGACCGCGGAGCAAAACUAAACCUCCAUGAAGAAUGAAUAUUUUUUAAGCCACAAACUACUUUUUUAAGCAUCAACAAAUUGACCUUCAUUGACCCAAUAUAUUGAUCAACGAACCAAGUUACCCUAGGGAUAACAGCGCAAUCUACUUCAAGAGCCCAUAUCGACAAGUAGGUUUACGACCUCGAUGUUGGAUCAGGGUAUCCUAGUGGUG
Molecule: ribosomal RNA, 421 nt
Filed under: Ameerega petersi (Peruvian poison frog)
Lineage: Eukaryota; Metazoa; Chordata; Amphibia; Anura; Dendrobatidae
Description: partial 16S ribosomal RNA
Rfam family: Bacterial large subunit ribosomal RNA
Source: RNAcentral